AGGGAGGACUACGCUGCUCACGGAGGUCGGGAGGACCUGGAAGCGCGCGAGUUUCCAGUCUGGUUCCUUGUCAAGAUUACCCAGCCCUGCCUAAGAGGCUAGGCCCCCUUUGAAGGCGUUCAACUUUAUUGGUUCCCAACUGAGCAAACAGACACGGACUCCAUUCUUCGCGGCUGCGCAGACUCUCACAAGCAAGUAGUAAACUUGAUGCCAAGCCUGGCAUAGCAGGGGAAAAAAACCUUAAAAAUAUUCGAGAAGCGAAGGCAAGGAAGAUUGCUGAAGAGUUCAAAGGCAGCACAGCCAAGUAGUAAGAUGCUGUCUCAAAACAAAAAAAGUUUGGGUUUGUCACGUUCCAGUCUGGGAACCAGGACCGCAGCGUGUUCGCGGUUUCUGUUUGUUCUGUGUCGCACGCUGUACCCAAGGAUAGUGUGGAACUCAGUCUGCAGCCUAAGACGUUUUCCCCUUAAAAACGUCUUUUCAGGAAAAAGCAAGAUUCAUGGUUUUGUAGAAAACAACUUCAUGACAAACCAAUAUGAAGCAGAAUUGGGAUUUAUUAAAAGAUAAUUUUAGCACUCUUGAGCACAGUGGCUAAUAGGUGCUCAGGGGGAAAAAACAAAACAAAACAAAACAAGAUAAAGCCCAAGGGUGAGUAUGGGUUUCUUGGCCUUUUCAAGGGAGAAUUUUGCAUAGGAGUAUUUUGCAACUGUUAUGUGUAGGCGCCUCUCCGUUGUUAUUGGUGUUUGUUUUUAAGGAAAAUUAUUCAGAGUAAUUUACAAGGUUUAAGUGGUUGUUCAGGAAGUUUGAUUUGUGGGGGUGCAGUAGCGCACACCUUAAGUCCCAGCGCACAGAAGGCAGAGGCAGAUGGAUCUCUGAGUUCAAGGCCAGCAUAUCGUCUACAGAGUUCUAGGAGAUUUAUUUGGGAGAAGUGCUGAGGAUACAGAAAGGGCUGUCAGUUACUAUUCGGUGAUAAAACACAUGGCCAAGGCAACUAUAAAAGAUUAUUUGGCGCUCACGGUUCCAGAGGGAUAGCCAUCGUUAUGGCGGUUCGGAGGUAGCGAGCAGCUAGGGCAGCAGCUGGGAGCAUAUUUCUCUAAGCACAAACAGAAAGUCUUGAGCUAACUUAAGCUGAUAGGAGUCUUUUGAAACCUCAAAGCCUGUCCUCAGUGACAUAAUUUCUCCAGCAAGGCCACACUUGCUCCUCCGCAAAUAGCCAUCAACUGGAAACAAGUGUUCAAGUGCCCAGGACUGUGAGGGGCAUCUAGUCAAACAACCACAGUAACCAUUCCUGGCAGUUCUUAGUUUUCAGUUCUGGAUAUCAAACCCAAAAACCUCAUAUAUGAUAGGCAAUCACUCCAACUGGGCUAUAUCUAGUGAGCUAUAUUCCUAGCUUUGACUUUGAUUCUAAUAUUCCAUUGUAUGUGUAUAUAUUUUAAACAAUUCAUAUCUUGGUGGGUGUCUGGUUUGGUUCUGUAACUUGUCCGUUGUGGGAGUAGUGUUGUGAUAAAAUAUGCAUAUUGUAGG
RNAcentral lists this long non-coding RNA (1521 nucleotides) under Mus musculus (house mouse). Its description in RNAcentral is "long non-coding RNA chr1:181144256-181145777". Lineage: Eukaryota; Metazoa; Chordata; Mammalia; Rodentia; Muridae. The record is from RNAcentral.